UCCUUGCUGAGAAGGGGCCAUGAACGGGACGCGUUGCAGUGCAGGGUCAAAAUAAAAGAGCUGAGGAGUGCUUACUGCAAAGCCCAUGAGGGAAUUUGCCACUCAGGAGCUGCCCCCACAACCUGCCGUUUUUACAAGGAGCUGGAUGCCAUACUUGGGUGUGACCCCACUGCCAAUCCGAGGACCACGAUGGAGAGUUCAGAUCAGGGAGAAGUGGGGGAGGGUGUAGAGGAAGCCGACAGUGAGGCUACUGGCAUGGAGGGAGACACCCCGGAGUCCCAGGAGGCAUGCAGCCAGGAGUUCUUCUCAAGCCAGGAGGAGGCUAGCUAGUCGCAGCAGCUGGAAGUUGCUGGUGAGGAAGAAACUGAGGAGCGUGCUCGGGUGACCUUGACUAAUGCAGCCGGAUCACCGGCCUCACGUCGGUUGCAGAACUUGAGAAAAAAUCCCCGAAAAUCAAAAGAAGAAUUGAUCAAAGCAGUUAUGAUUCACUACAACAGAGAAAGUAGGAAGAUGCAGGAAUGGAGAGAGAAAAUGUAUGAGUGGAGGCAAACAGAAAGCAGGAGAAAGGAAUUGGCUAUCAAAAAAACCUCAAAGCAGAUGAUGAGCCUCCUGGCUCGCCAAACUGAGUCUUUCGAGUCUCUCGUAGCCAUGCAGGCAGAUAUGUACCGUGGUAACCCACAGCCCUCCCAAAGCUCUCUUUCUUGUUCCCCAGUAUUUUCACAAAACACCCUUCUCCAGCAGCCUGUUUCUUAUUACCCCCAGCUGCCCCCAACACCUGUACGAUCACCUACCAGCCCUGAUAACUAUAAUUCUUACUCUGUGCACUCCACCCCCAUUACCCUGCAGCAUAGUAAUCCUGAAGUGCAGCAGACAUUGAACAGUAAUCAAAACAGGACAUAUUCAAACCUCUGAAUGUACAGUCCACCACCCUAACCCCCCUGGCCUUUUAUGUACUGUACUUUGAAUAAAGGAUUUUAUGGCUUUUA
Gopherus flavomarginatus (Mexican gopher tortoise) is the source of this 986-nucleotide long non-coding RNA. RefSeq lists it as uncharacterized. NCBI's taxonomy places the organism in Eukaryota, Metazoa, Chordata, Testudines, Testudinidae. The record is from RefSeq and is a predicted model, not a curated record. The transcript is spliced from 2 exons.